AACCCUUAUCCCCAGUUGCCAUCAGGUAAGCUGGGAACGUCUGGGGAGACUGCCGGUGAUAAACCGGAGGAAGCGGGGAUGACGUCAAGUCCUCAUGGCCCUUACAUCCCGGGCUACACACGUGCUACAAUGGCAGGUACAGAGGGCUGCGAAGCCGCGAGGUGGAGCGAAUCCCAGAAACCUGUCUCAGUCCGGAUUGAAGUCUGCAACUCGACUUCAUGAAGGCGGAAUCGCUAGUAACCGCGAAUCAGCAGGUCGCGGUGAAUACGUUCCCGGGCCUU
Molecule: ribosomal RNA, 281 nt
Filed under: uncultured Latescibacterota bacterium
Lineage: Bacteria; Pseudomonadati; Candidatus Latescibacterota
Description: uncultured Latescibacteria bacterium partial 16S ribosomal RNA
Rfam family: Bacterial small subunit ribosomal RNA
Source: RNAcentral